This 361-nucleotide transfer-messenger RNA is filed under the name Phenylobacterium sp. It matches the Rfam family "Alphaproteobacteria transfer-messenger RNA". Rfam says of the family: Bacterial tmRNA, also known as 10Sa RNA or SsrA, is named for its dual tRNA and mRNA-like properties. Its role is to liberate the mRNA from a stalled ribosome. To accomplish this part of the tmRNA is used as a reading frame that ends in a translation stop signal. The record is from RNAcentral. Lineage: Bacteria; Pseudomonadati; Pseudomonadota; Alphaproteobacteria; Caulobacterales; Caulobacteraceae.
GCCCUUCAAAUUCCAGGCGCGCAGCCCUAUAUUCAACCUGUCCGGUUCGCCGGACUAUGGAGAUAAACGCGCACGUCAUAAGCGGACUGGACCCGGGUGCGAUUCCCGGCGGCUCCACCAAAUCCUUCUCCGGGUAUCGCCGGAAAGUCUGGGGCCGAUCAGCAUCGACAGACGUCUAAAGGUGUUGCUUUCUCUCGGCUUGGCCCACCGUUUCGGGCCUUAAUCUAAAUGCGAACGAUAACUUCGCUGAAGAAGUCCGUCUGGCUGCGUAAGCGGUCCGAUAGAUUUCGACCUAAACUCCUAGUGUCUUAGCAGCGCUAGGCGGGGCCGGGAGGGGGCCUUGCAACAGAACCCCUCCACC